CCUACGGGAGGCAGCAGUGAGGAAUAUUGGUCAAUGGACGAGAGUCUGAACCAGCCAAGUAGCGUGAAGGAUGACUGCCCUACGGGUUGUAAACUUCUUUUAUAGGGGAAUAAAGUUCAGCAUGUAUACCUUUUUGUAUGUAUUAUAUGAAUAAGGAUCGGCUAACUCCGUGCCAGCAGCCGCGGUAAUACGGAGGAUCCGAGCGUUAUCCGGAUUUAUUGGGUUUAAAGGGAGCGUAGGCGGAUGCUUAAGUCAGUUGUGAAAGUUUGCGGCUCAACCGUAAAAUUGCAAUUGAUACUGGGUGCCUUGAGUACAGUUGAGGUAGGCGGAAUUCGUGGUGUAGCGGUGAAAUGCUUAGAUAUCACGAAGAACUCCGAUUGCGAAGGCAGCUUACUAAACUACAACUGACACUGAUGCUCGAAAGUGUGGGUAUCAAACAGGAUUAGAUACCCGUGUAGUC
This 460-nucleotide ribosomal RNA is filed under the name uncultured bacterium. RNAcentral describes it as "partial 16S ribosomal RNA". It matches the Rfam family "Bacterial small subunit ribosomal RNA", at positions 338 to 795 of the family's 1533-position model. The record is from RNAcentral.